Long non-coding RNA from Cucurbita moschata (crookneck pumpkin), 1630 nucleotides. RefSeq lists it as uncharacterized. The transcript has 2 exons. Lineage: Eukaryota; Viridiplantae; Streptophyta; Magnoliopsida; Cucurbitales; Cucurbitaceae. The record is from RefSeq and is a predicted model, not a curated record.
CACAAAGAGAUAAUUCGAUGAGUAUAAAAAGACCCCAAGAAAGUUUACAAUUUAUUGUUUUUCUCUCUAUUUUUGUGUUUCUCUCUCCUCAUGAACAGUUGUGGGAAAUGUUGUCUGGUGCGAGAUCGUUCAUCUCUUUGAAUUUCAACCUCUCGGGAAUCAAACUCGUCAACUUUGGAAUGAUUUCGGACCAGGCUUCAUUCCCCUCAACACCCAUCAUGUUAAAUCUUUCGUCUCGAUGUCGAAACUUGGCUUUCUUUCUCAAUCUAAAGCUUGGGUUCGCUGUUCCGUUGGCCCGUCUCGACAAGUCCUCGGCGUCGAUUACUGACACAUACAUAUAUGCAGGUCUGUGAAAGGUUGUUCUAAUUCACCAACUUUUACUAUUUUGUGAGGUAUUUCUGUUGUGUUGGGGAAGUUCGAAAGAAAUAAGGUGUGAAGAAUCACGGGGUGACUGUAAUGAGUAGAAAACUCACUCACCGGCCUAAAUGACAAGCAAACCCUCGAACAUGAGAGCAAGGGAUCACCCAAGGAAUGGACGAGCUCUAAGGAGGGAGGCAAGAACCAUGCUUUCAGAGACUUAACUCAAUCCCCUGGUCUAAAUCUUAUUUGAAUUGCGAGAAUAACUGACCAAGUCAUGCACAUAUAUAUAUAUAUAUACACACUCAUUCUCCAAAUGUUGCGGGGCAAAACCUUUAGGUUGUUUAAGUAGAAUGGGUGACAAAUCGGCCAUAGUAGUACUGCAAUAUUAUAAACUAUAAACUAGGGCAACAAAUUUCGAGCAUACGAUGAUGCCGCCCGUUUUAUUUUGUGGAAGUCUCCGCUAGAAGAAAGAAAGGAUGGUAGGUGAUGGCGCGUUCUACGAGUACAAAAUUUUGAUAUAAUUGUUGUGGGCCAAUAAUGAAUAGGGUAUGGUCACAUGGGUAUGGUGUAAAUUGGCUAUAAUGUAAACUAUAAUACAACUGAAGUUAACUACAGUGUAUGCAGAAAGAGGAGGAUGAAUGUCAGUGUGGUCCAUUAAUAACUAGACUUCGAGCUUAGGAGCCGUGCAAGAUGAAAGCCUCAUGCACGGUUUUGAAUGAGAGAAAGACGUGGAGGAUCCUCGUUUUUAGCUCUUAACUCUCCCGCUCCGGUCGUUGCUUUUGUAGAGUUGUUGGGUGAAAGGGUCCGGAAAUUAAAUGGUAUGGUUGAGAAGAAAAUAAUGAUAAAAAUAAAAUAAGAAAGAGGUAACAUGUGAAGAUCAUAAAUAGAGGUGGGUCAUAAACUCCAUGUAAUGUUGGGAUGCUAAGAAACAAUGGCUCUUUCAGCCAGCCAGCAUUUAACACACUCAUGACUCAAUAGUGACCCUAGAAACUAACACCUUGUGUAUGAACAAAUUGAUUGCUCGAGGGCCGAAAAAAAAUAAUUAAUUUAUAAAUUUAGACCGUGAACUUUUAUAUUUGUGACAAAGGAAAAUAACAUCGAUAUAAGAACCUAAAUUAGUUCUAAUUACUUUUGAAAUGGUGCAAAAGAUCGAAAAAACUGUGUUUAGCGCUUAAGACGCUAAUGAGUUUAAGAGUCGGGAUAGACAUUGCAACGUUUGAAUUUCCAAUAAAAUGGGAGUAUAUGAUGAGGAAGGUCACCGAAAGGUUGC